RNAcentral lists this ribosomal RNA (164 nucleotides) under uncultured bacterium. Its description in RNAcentral is "partial 16S rRNA". It matches the Rfam family "Bacterial small subunit ribosomal RNA", at positions 355 to 511 of the family's 1533-position model. The record is from RNAcentral.
UAGGGAAUCUUCCACAAUGGACGCAAGUCUGAUGGAGCAACGCCGCGUGAGUGAAGAAGGUCUUCGGAUCGUAAAACUCUGUUGUUAGAGAAGAACACGAGUGAGAGUAACUGUUCAUUCGAUGACGGUAUCUAAUCAGCAAGUCACGGCUAACUACGUGCUAG